UGGAGACAAAGUAUUAUAAAAAAUUAUGUCAUGAGCGCAGACAGAGGGACAAUAAGGCAAAGAGCUCCCAGAAUAUAAUUACUUGCUGUAGAGUUGUGCUCAUGUCUUUCCACCUCAUCUUCUUCAUAUAAAGAGAAAGAACCAGUCUGGCAGGUAUUUUGUUGAAGUGGAAAUGUAUACUGUCAUCAGCAGCGAUGUAUGCUGUCAAACUGGAAGAGCAGCAGUAUGGCAAACAGAGAAAGGGGAAAAAAAGUGUUAACCUUACAUUGACUUUGGUGAGAAGUAAACAGAGAACCUUGAGAUAAUACAAAUACACACAUAAAAGCAUAAACACAUGGACAUACGUGCACACGCACACACAGCCAAGCCUUAACCCUAACCCUUGACUGGUAAUACUAGGCCUACUAUUUACAGCAGUAGAGCUAGCCAUAACCCCAAUCCUAACACAAACUAGUAAUACAUUGUAUUUACAGCAGUAGAGAUAGCCAUAACCCUAAUCCUAACCCCAAACUAGUAAUAAAUGGGAUUUAUAGCAGUAGAGCUAGCCAUACCCCUAACCAUACUGGUAGUACUUACAGCAGUAGAGGUAGCCAUACCACUACCCAUACUGGUAGUACUUACAGCAGUAGAGGUUUACCAUACCACUACCCAUACUGGUAGUACUUACAGCAGUAGAGGUAGCCAUACCCCUAACCAUACUGGUAGUACUUACAGCAGUAGAGGUAGUCAUACCCCAAACCAUACUGGUAGUACUUACAGCAGUAGAGGUAGUCAUACCCCUAACCAUACUGGUAGUACUUACAGCAGUAGAGGUAGCCAGGCAUUUGUGUGGAGGUCAUGCGAUAAGCUUCACUAGGAGUUAUUUUUCCCUCCUUCUUCAUAGGUUGCCAUUAUAGUGGUUUCCUAUUGUGAUAUUCUGUGGCAGGGGAGGGGCCCAGAAUAACCCAUAGGGACCUCAGAAGAGCCUAAAAACUUAAACAUGUUUAAAAUGUACUACCGCUCCUCUACCCCUCAGAUGCAUAAUCUGUAGCCGAUUACUAUCCUAUGCACUGACUGCCCAUAACAGCCUAAAUAAAUCUAUAGAAAAGGUAAUUAGGUGGGAAUACACAGGAUAUUUCCCCUGACAACAAUCCUAAUCACAUCCAAUCGAA
RNAcentral lists this long non-coding RNA (1151 nucleotides) under Salmo salar (Atlantic salmon). RNAcentral's name for it is "lncRNA (ENSSSAG00000112709.1)". Lineage: Eukaryota; Metazoa; Chordata; Actinopteri; Salmoniformes; Salmonidae. The record is from RNAcentral.